AGAAAAUCCUAAGAGCCAUAGCCGUCUCCCGCUCGGUUAGGGUUUGGUGCUACUAUGGUCAAGCGAGCUCGAACCAGUGUCUCUCUCCUCACUUCGUUAAGUCACCCCAAAGCUAGUAUCGGAGCUAUGAUGCUAAUCCAGUUUGGUCUAGGAGUCUUCUGCCAAACCCUUCCAGAAGCGAGAGGUUCUCGCGGUCAACAGGGGAAUGGUGACUCCGCUGUGUAGCCCGCCUUGGCUGGAUCCUGAUCCAUGAUCUUUCUUUUAGGGCCACGGCCUAUGUAGCAUCUGUCAUUUACAUUUCAGUUUGAUUUCUGUAGAAUAUUUUAUAUCUGUUUCCUUUAGCACCGUUACGCAUUUUGGUUGGUUGUAUGAAAUUACUUUUAAACUCCGGAACUGCACCAAGAUAUUAUUCUAGUGUGACGCUUCUUUUAAUUACGCUAUUAAUUAAAUGGGGUGUUACACUUA
This is a long non-coding RNA of Vigna unguiculata (cowpea), 465 nucleotides long. RefSeq lists it as uncharacterized. NCBI's taxonomy places the organism in Eukaryota, Viridiplantae, Streptophyta, Magnoliopsida, Fabales, Fabaceae. The record is from RefSeq and is a predicted model, not a curated record.